ACUGAAAGUACUUGCACCAACGUUUGGCAUAAAUAAUUAAAAUGUAACUAUGGCAUUCAAUUUGCCUUUAGUUUUCUUUCUUUUUGGCUGGACUUGGAAAAGUCUCAUGAGCAAAAGACAAUGGUUGAGUUCUUCAGUUCUCCAACAAGUAAUUUUGUAAACCAUCUUCACUUGCCACCAAUAAGAGCAUGUCCGGUGCGUACUUGCAAAAGACGCUCCGACACUUAGGUACUGUUUGGUACGCGGACGGGACGGGACAGAAUGGAAUGGUGGUUCCAUGUUAUGUUUGGUAUGCGCAGGAUAGAACAGGAAAGUUGUUCCGUUCUGCGUUUGGUAAGCGCAGGAGGGAACGAAAUCAAAAUAUUAAAAUGACUAACUUACCCUAGUCCAUACAUCUCUCUCCUCAAUCACCUCCACCCUCCGAACCAAUCAACCCACCGUCUCUCUCCUCCACUGCCCCUCCCUCAUCUUCUCUCCGCUUCCUUCCAACCAAGCCCUCAGGCUUGCUCCGUACAAUGUUCCUUCGCGGCCGUACGCUUCAAUUUCAUCUGAAGCAGCUGCCGCAGAUUUCACAGACGAAGCUCACUCCGCGGACUCAACCCUAGAACCGCCGGAGAACCCGACUCGGGAAACCGUGGAGGAGCUUCUGAGGAAGAAAAACGAGGUCGCGAAGGGAGAUUUACAAGCAACAACAAACACCAAACCCGUUCUAGGGAUUGGAGGAUUUACAAGCAGCAUCAAAAUUAAUUAAAGAUAAAGAUUGGAGGAUUUACAAGCAGCAGGGGAGAUGGGCAGGGAUGAAGAGCUGAAAGUUCGCGAAGGGGAGAUGCGCAAGGAUGAACGUUCACAGCGGCAGAGAGAAGAGAAAUGAUAGUUGUAGGGUUUGUUGGAUGAUAUAGAUGGUGUAAAUAUUGAAAAAGUUAAGGGGUAUUUUUGUCUUAAAUUUUAUGAUUUUUGUGUUC
Malus domestica (apple) is the source of this 962-nucleotide long non-coding RNA. RefSeq lists it as uncharacterized. The record is from RefSeq and is a predicted model, not a curated record. Lineage: Eukaryota; Viridiplantae; Streptophyta; Magnoliopsida; Rosales; Rosaceae.